UGCAGUUUACCAUUAACCACAAUCAGUUAAUAGUCAAGACUCUGGCACCAUAUGGUCCCAAGUUGUCUGAUUAAAAAUACACCCUUUAAUGUGAUUUCUUAAGUCUCUGCUCCCUCACAGCCCCUGAAGCAGGUGCUGCAGUGCGGUUUAUGCUCCUGGAGUGAGGACACAGCCCUGUCUGGGGAGCGGCUUUGCGUCUGCUUGGCUGGGCCAUUGGCGAGCUCUGCCCUUCAGUGCUGGCAGCCACCUGAGCCCUGGUGUCCUGACGUCACCUGGAAGGACACAGCCCACAGGCUGAUGGUAAAGGUGGAGGGAGGUGAUUCUCAUGCAGGACUAGCAUGGUGCUUCCUGUGCCUGUGCCCAAGCCUGGGGGUUUAUUCCAGUUCCAGAGCUACUUCCUGACUGCUCACUGUUUACUAAUGAUAUGGUCCCCAAGAUAUCGGGCAAGCGACAGACAGGUCAGUUUUAGUUAAAAGGUGACAAGAGCUACUGUGACGAGGAAGGAGAAAGCCAGAGCCAGAGGAGACAGGCCGGCUUCUCAGCUCCUUAGAGGAGAUGAAACGGGCUCCAGUCUGGGAGGUGAACAGGCCUUGGGCAGAGGGUGGAAGUGGGGCGGUUGUGCUUUGCAGCAGAGCAAGUUGCCGAGGAGCCUGGCAAGAGCAUGUGUGGGUGGCACAGAAUUCCCAGAAAGCCCCAGGGUGCAGAGCACACGAAAUGCUCCCUGGGCCGCGCCUGCUCAGCCUUCACUUACCUGCUGUCCCCAGGGCCAUCCGAUCACCGUGAGCCAGCAUUUUCCAACGGUCCCCUGGCCACCAACUGGGCCACUGCGGCAAGGACAGAUCACGGCUAAGGCAGCGGGGCUGCUGGCUGAGACAGCUCACCCAGUCGCCUGGGGCAGGCCUGUCAGAGCGCCGGACGGAAGAGGCUAGGCCUGAGGUCGGGCAGCCUGGCUGGGCCUGGUGGGGCCUGUGCUGGCUGUGGACUGCAUGCACGGUGAAGGACAGCCCGCUGGCCACUCUGUCUCAGAGAAGCGACGCUGUUCUGUUCAGACCCCCAGCCCCUGCACUGAGGGCAGAGUUCAGUGUGCAUGGGGGAGACACAGCACCUGCGGCACUGUAACACUGCCUGGCCUUCACAGUCAGUGCCCUGGUGGUUGGCAAGCAGCUGGGGGGUCAUGCAGCACCCUCCCAAUGUGCUUGCACACAGGACACCUGGGAAUUUGCAUUUCAAGCACAGCUAAGACAACAGAGGCUCUGGAUACAUUCACUGUGGAAGAGUCAAUCGCUCCUGUCGCAGGGUGGGGUGCUGCAUGGACGCUCCCUGAGUAUGGUCUCUGGUAAGAGUCCCGGUGUCCUGGAGAGGGGACAGCUGAGCUUCCUCAACAAAUGGCAGUGCUGCAGCAAGGAAUCCAUGAGCAGCACCCAGGAACCGUAGGGAACAUGAGGCUGAUGGACUUUGCUGUCCUGCUUCACUAGAGGUUAAAGUCAUUCGGAAGAUGCAUGGAUCUCUAAGGACACAGGUGUCUCACGGGAAGCUGAGUGUUUCCGUCUCUGAAGCCCUGGAGGGACAUUUGACACAGAACUGAGGAGGGUUUGUGGCCUUGCUGUGAGGCAUCCACGGAACGUAAACGUGGAAUCUGAUGCAGCACACAGGUGGGCACCGAGUGCCCCCGGGAGCUCAGGUCCUCUGAGUGGACAGCGCCCCAUGACUAGGGAAAAACACAGAUGAUUUUACAAAAAGCAAUUUGCAAAAAAGCUUUCUCUUUCAGGGAAUUGCUGUCAGAGGAUGAGCCAUUUACAGAAUUGGCUUUUCCCUGGUUGGUCCCUGGCAAAUUAUUGUAGGAAAACUGACCUAGAGCUACCAGGAAAACUGUCUGAUGUGAGAAGAAUUUAUGGUGAAGAAGACCUUUGGGCUUAGAGUCGGCAGAAAGAGAAAUCCAAACAAGAGAAAUGAAGGGCCAUGAAAGCCGUUGUAUUUUUACUAGGGCAAUAAUGUACACUGCCAAAGGAGUGUUUAUUCAUAGAAAAUUAGUAGCAAGCGGAGCUGGAAACAGCGGGAAGGUGUGUGUGUGCCCGGUGCUGUGCUUAAGUGCUCCAGGCUCAGGGUUAACUGAGCUCCUGUUUCUAUCAAUAGACCACUGUUACCAGUGUGAGUCAGCGUUGUCCCAGACUUUUACAAGGCCGAGCUGAACCCAGACCUACCGCCCGUAAUAGCGAUGAGCACCCACAGCAGACACAUUGCACAAGGGUAACUCAUAGUGGCAGUCAUAUUUCAGGAGGGAAAUAAUACCAGUACUUUAUUUGUGAGAUGCUUUGCUUGAAUAAGAAAUGACUGUGUUUCUUGGAUUCUAAUUCUGGCUCUUUAAUAAUUAAUAAACUCAUGGAUUUCUUCAGCAAUGAUCACCCAGGCCAAGACCUAUUCCUAGGAGCUCAGGUCUUCAACAAAGAAUAAGCAGGAGACACAGUUUCCACCUCCAGGGUUUGUCUUGUCUGUGUUUGACCAGCUAACCAUGAGUUGGUUUUAGCGGAGGAUGUGGCGGGAGGUGAACAUCAUUACAAGUGCACUGUAAAGUAGGAAGGACAAAGCAAAGCGACUAGAGACCAAAGUGGGAAUGGAGGACAUGGCGAGCAUCUGCAGCAGUGGCUCCUCGGUUCCCUGGACACUGGGGCAACUAUGCUAAUGAGCGGUGAGGAUACACUCGAGGGGAGAAGGCCUGGCAUUGCAGGAUUACAAAGAAGAUAAGAGAAGAACACGGAGGCUGUGUUUGAAUCUUACUUUUUUCUACCUAAAUCCAAGCAGCCAGAGGCCAGUUUCCCUCCACUCCUUUCAGAGUUGGACUAUGCCCCACACUUCCUGGGCAGCGUAGCUCCAUCCCUGCCCCCGUCUGCAAUGCUUUCUUCCUCCUCUCUGUCCAAAUUCUGUCUCUUAUGGCCUAGCUGAUGAUAUCUGCACUCUCUGAAGAUUUUCCUGAUGUAUCUUAACAUAUUACUGUUUUGUAUCAUUGUUUCAUUGGGAAACAACCAUUUAUUGAGUGUCAACUCUGUGUCAGAUGUGAUUGUAGGACCAGGGAUAUAGCAGUGAAUAAAAUCAGGUUCUCUUUCUCAUGGUGCUUCGUUCAAAAGGGAAAAUAUGACAAAGAAAAUAAGUUGUCUUGAUGUUGGCUGAUGGACGCAGAGAGAGAGAGACGGAGAUGGCAGAGGUAGAGGUAGAUGCGUGGACAGAUGGUCGGGUGGGUGGAGCUUGAGAGGACAGAUGGACUUCGUUGAGAGAGCCAUAGAGACAAACUGAGCGAGCAGCUUCUAUGUGUGGUGGGCUGACAGUGCAGCCGAGAGGCUGUGCUGUUGCCUCCUCCACCAUACUGCAGAGAAGGACCCUGCUGUUCUGCUCUGCAAAAUCUUUUCAGUGCCAGGGCACAGGACUGGACUUGGGUAAGAGGCUUAACAGAUAUUUGUUUGUUGACACUGUUUUUCACUUUUUAUUCAGCCAUUUCAGCAUGGCAGAUGCAGUUCAGUUUCCACUGAAGUGUAAUUUGCCCUCCACAGGCUGGCUUAGAGAUUUGUUGGGUUUCAUAUUUGUAUGCAAAGCAAGAUGCUCCACAUAAAUCCAAGGGGAUUCAGUAACCAUUUUUGGCAGCAGUUUCUCCCUCAUGCAUCAAUUUUUUUCUUUCUUGGCUUUCCCUGGUGACCCUGCAUCACUAGGGGUUCUUAGAGCAAUUACUAUGGCUGCACCCAGUGACCCUUCACCUUCCCUAACAGUUGGACAAAUCAGGCAAGGAAGGAAUGGGGCGGAGUGAAGGCUGGGGAGGGCUGGGGGGCCUGUGUGGCCAGCGACUUGCCCCAGUCUCUCUAUUCCUGUUGCAGGAGGGCACAUGUUGCUGUAAAAAAGAGAAACUGGAUAUUUGCCUGGGAAGUUUUCGAGACUCUGCCAGGAAGAAGAAAAAAGGAGCAGGAGAAGAAGGAAGAGGGGCAAGGAAAAGCACAAAUCUCGGGGGUCAAAAAUGACAGGUGCAGCUACCCCCUGAGACUGAAGUGGACGGUGUCCUUCCUGUGUCAGGAUCAGCGGUGGGACCCAUCUCCGAGUGACAGCCAGGGCUUGAGGAAGGAAUAUUUACACCAACAAUAGAAGGAAGAUCAAGAGGGAACAGCUAAGUCAUGGACUCAACAGCAAGUGUCAACCUUUCACACGUAAUGAAUUCUGUUUAAGGCUACCAUCAAGACCGGUCCCUGUCAGCUAAGGUAGGAACUAAGAAACUAAUGAGAGCAAUCAGAUUUUUAAAUGCUUUACGUACCACUGGAAUUUAUGUCUUAAUUUAAUUGCCGAAUUCUUAAUCUGAUUAGAGCCUGUAAAGGAAUAAAAUUGGAUUUGGAAAAAAUAGAUAAAAUAAGUUUUCCUUUACAUAUUCACAAGUCAUCCCAAACUGCAUGUUUCUUAUAAGAUUAAUACAAAUGUUUUAGCUCAUUUUCAUUGCAUCCGAGCAAACACAUUAUCUCCCAGGAAACAGCAUGGAACGAUAAUAUGCCACACAUCCAGCCAUAGAAGAAGUUCUUGAAUAUAAAGUCAUCUGGCUAAACUGCCUGGAAAUGAGCGGGGUCACAGUCACGGAGAUGAAGCUAAAUGACAUCGCGUUUCUCCCAUGGCUCCCAGGACAUGAGAUUCUCACUACCAGUGGGACCGGCUUAUGAGUCUCUGUCCACUAGAUGUUUCUCUGGCUUCUGCAGAGUGUUCCCAAAUCAUUUCAUUCACUCACCAAAUAUUUAUUCAGUGCCUACUGUGUGCCAGGCACUCACUGUUCCAGGUGCAGGGGCACCGAGGCCGAGCGAAGAACAUUAAAGUCUCUCUGAGAUGCAGCUCCUAGUAGACAUGGCCAACUUCCCAUUGUAAACUGUGCUUCUUCAAUGUGUGAUUUUUAAAAAGAGGCUCAAAAAUGGUCUUACACAUUUAAGAGGAUGAUAUGACAAGGAAUAGGGUUAGAAAGGGGAGGUCAUAAAAUUCAGUUAGACAAGGUGAAAAGCAAGACCACAUUGGAGCACAAGAAGCAACACACAUGCAGAGACCGAGCAGAGGCCUGGAGCCACACCAGCCCCGCUCAGGGCUUCAUGUCCACUAGCUCCCUCAUCUUCCCGGCACCCGGAGAGCUGGAACCCUCCUACUACCUGCAUUCUACAGAAGCGGAGACUGAGCUCGGAGUAACUGCCUUGUCUCACACCGUCCCACACAUGGCAGCCAAGAAGAGAGCUGACCAAGGAAGUGAAGACGAAGCAGCCUGGGCCCACUGACCUGGUGGGAAGCGGGAGAGAGACAAACUGUGGCGAGCUGGAAACGCUCGGGAUCUUACUUCAGGGGCCGUUUUAAGUGGACUGCACGCAUGGUCCUUCUGUCCCCAGAGUCGAGGAUGCCACAAGCCUCUGACUCUAACACCAAGACCCGGAACCCACCACAUGAUAGAUCCAGCUGUUCCCUGAAGCAGCUAUUGAGUUUUUAGCGAUAUCUAAAAUACAAGCUCUUCUGAAGUUGGGAAAGUUAAGGCAGAGCCUUCGCAUUUUUCUCUCAUCUAGGAAGCCAGAUCUCUGUGGGGAGGGGAGAAAGCGCCGGUGGGUGGCCAAGCUCGGAGUCUGUCCUGUGUGUUCAUCGUCCCCAGGGUGGCUGGCCUGGGGCGGUCUCUCUCCACGCUGGCACUCGUCCGCUGCCUCCUCCUCUGACUGUGCUUGCAGGAGCUGUGUCCAGUGCAGAAUCAGCAGGGCCCUUCUGACAUGCUCCGGGAAGGCUGCUCAGCCCUGCCCGAGCCCACUGUGCUGGGAUGCCGGAUUCCCUCCAGCCUGCGUACUUCCUGGGAUUCGCCAGAAAGCAGACCUGGGCAGGCAGGGCCAGCCCUGGCACCUCUAGGGGGUGGGGCAGCGGCUAGGUUUUGGGUUCUGGGCGCUGAGAACAAUGGGAAGCGAUUCGAUCGCAGGCCCAAGCCACGGCCUCCACACGCCAGCAGGGCUCUGGGGCUGAGGGACAGACACAGGCCCACUCGGAGAGCAGCCUGUGUACAACUGCAUGGGCCCAGUGACCUUCCCGCCCACGCCAGCCGUGGGCUCUGGCGGUGUCUGUUCCCGGUCCGAGCAGGG
RNAcentral lists this long non-coding RNA (6110 nucleotides) under Heterocephalus glaber (naked mole-rat). RNAcentral's name for it is "lncRNA (ENSHGLG00000034262.1)". The record is from RNAcentral. Lineage: Eukaryota; Metazoa; Chordata; Mammalia; Rodentia; Bathyergidae.